This is an RNA transcript of Globicephala melas (long-finned pilot whale), 10150 nucleotides long. It is a transcript of the gene named scaffold protein involved in DNA repair, with no coding region annotated. Lineage: Eukaryota; Metazoa; Chordata; Mammalia; Artiodactyla; Delphinidae. The record is from RefSeq and is a predicted model, not a curated record.
ACGUGGUGUGUCGCGGCGCGCCGAGUUGGUCCGGGGACGCGCGGCCUUCCGGCGGCCUGAGGGGGUGGCACGCGCGGAGAUGCCCCGCGGAGAUCAGUCUCGUGGCUUGAAGAGAAAAAGAAAUUGGGAUGUAGAAUACCCAUCCUUUCCAGGAGAGAGUCCACUGCAGUGCAGACGAGCAGGUCUCAGGACCGUGGGGGCAGAAGCUUCCCUCUCUGAAGCAUGGCUCAGGUGUGGAGAAGGAUUUCAGGAGACUCCUGAGACUCUGUCAUUAACAGCUGAAAAGAAGACUACUACAGAAAAACACCUUGAAUUAUCCUCUGGACCCAAGACAGAACCUACCACAUCUAAGAGUACCAGUGGGCUUACAGCUAUAACAUGGAGUUCCAGUGGAAGUGAUCUGUCAGAUGAAGAUAAAACAAUUUUGAAAUCACAGAGAGAGAAUGGACAUGGUUCUAGAAUAGGCAGGUUUUAUAGCAGGAAUAUUUUCUCUCCAGAAGAUGGGGCCAGUGAAGAUGAUCUCCAGGUUAUUGACUGGGAGAUUGACAGUGACAGGGAAGAUACAUGUGAUGAAUUUGAAGACCGUGAGAGUGUGGUGGAAAUAUCUGACCGUGCUUCUUGUACAAGCAGUCGUUCUUUGACACCUCCAGAGAUGCUGCUUGAACUUCCUAAGACAAAUCCUACAGAAAUUUUAGAGUAUUCAUCAGAUAGUGAAAAAGAUGAUGAGUCGGAGAAUGUCUUGUUCAUUGAUUCAGAAUCCUCUCACAAAUACCACAUGGAUUUCGGAUCAGAUGGAAGACAGGUUAUGGAGAGACCGAUAAACCCUAGGGUAAAAUCUACAGAGGCCAUUUUGCAUACACCUCAGAAAGAGACAAAGCUUCCCAAGACUCCAGAAAAUUCAGCAAAGAAGAAGAAGCUUUUAAGAGGCGGGCUAGCAGAAAGACUAAAUGGACUGCAGAAUCGAGAGAGAUCUGCCGUUUCUUUGUGGAGACAUCAGUAUCUUUCUUACCAAAGGACACUUUCAGGUAUAAAAUCUGGUAUAUUAACUGUGAGAAUUCUAGAGCUUCAUGAGGAAUGCACGAUCCAAGUUGCAAUGUGUGAGCAGUUAUCGGGGCUGCAGGCUGACAGCUCUUCUCAGGGUGGGGCCCCUGGGACUGGCCUGAGGGUUCUCUUCGCCAAGGAGACUGCACGCUGCCUCCGGGGACUUCCACAAGACAUCAUCCGCAUCUACCCUCCCUGGCAAAAGCUUAUUAUCCCAAAUGGAAGUUGCCCUGUUAUUCUGAAUACUUAUUUUUGUCAGAAAGUUGUUGCCAAAGAAGAUUCAAAAACAACACAUGAAGUGCACAGUUGGGACACACCCCUUCCAAGAAGAAGCAUCAUUUUGGCCCAGAUGUUUAGAUUUAAGAGCCUAACAAAUAACUCACCUGAAAACCAGGUUAUGUGUGGUGGUCACACCACCGUGGGCACAGACUGGACCCUCAGACACGAACAAGCAGAGCUGGGCUUCCCCGCCCGAGCUCCCCUGAGGGAUUCUCUGCUGGAUGCAGUCGAAAGCCAAGGAGUUGCCACCUGGUCGGGAGCCGGGGUCCGGGUGGUGGUGCAGAGAGUUUACUCUCUUCGCUGCAGGUGUCAGCAGGCAGAUGGCACAGACCCUCCUGGAGUUCGAGUCUGCCUUCUCGUGCAAGAUGCCCUUGGACUCUUCAGUGAGGUGCACUCGGAGGGCGCCGUCCUGAAGGACAGGGAGUUGGAGGGCAAGUCCUGCAGGCUGGCGGGAAUGAAGGUUCUGCAAAAGGUCACCAGAGGAAGGAUGACAGAGCUUUUCAGUUUGAUUGACACCAUGUGGCCUCCAGUGGCGCCUCUGAAAGCACCAGGCCACGGGCCAGCCUUCGAGGAAAAAACUCAUCUGCCUCCUCCUAGCUUCUGUUACGUCCUCACUGCUCAUCCAAACCUGGGACAAAUUGACGCAAUUGAAGAAGGCUCUAUUUCGAAGCUUUACCAGCCUCCGAUUCCCCGCUGCUUAAGAGAAAUUCUCCAGACUGAUGGCCCCUGUACCCGUUGCAGUUUCUAUGCCAGAGUGAUUUACCAAAGACCACAGGUAAACAGUUCGCUUCUGGAGCCAAGGGAGCUGUGGCUGGUGGUGACCGACGUUACUCUGCAAACACAGGACGAGGGCUCGGGUCUCCCCAAAACCAUGCCUGUGCGCGUGGCCCCCUCAUGCGUGCUGGGCCAGGAAGUCCGGGACGCGCUCUCUGAGGCCACCUCCAAGAGCUUCUUCUUCAGGGAUGCUCUCCGAGACCAGGGUCAGCUUGUUUGUGUUGCACGAACUGUCCUCCUGCUUCCAAAGCCCCAGCUGGGUGUGGCCUCUGGUGCCUGGGAGCUGACGAGCCCUGUGAGCCUCGAUGAGCUGGAUUCUGUCACUCGGGUCAACUCCAUUUGCAGCGUCCAAGGCGCUGUGGUCGCCGUGGACGAGAGCACCGCCUGCUCGUGGCCUGCGUGUGACCUGUGUGGCGGUGAGAGACUGGAACGGAGGCCGGAAGACAGGGGCGCCUUCUCCUGUGGGGACUGCUCCCGCGUGGUCACCUCUCCCCUCCUCAGAAGGCACCUGCAGGUCUUCCUGGACUGCCCCUUGCGACCCCAGUGCACAGUGAGGGUCAAGCUGCUGCAGCACAGCAUCUCUUCGCUCCUGAGGUUUGCCGCCUGCGAGGACGGGAGUUACGAGGUGAGGAGUGUCCUUGGAAAGGAGGUGGGGCCGAUAACCUGUUUCGUCCGGUCCAUCGCCACCCGCCCGGCCAGCUGCGUGGGAUUGGAGGAGGUGGAACUCCUGAGCGAGGGGGGAGCCUCUUCAGCACAUGGGUGGCAGCCGCAGGAUCCGUGAACUUUACAAAGUGGCUGCCAGUGGUGGUGGUUCGGUAGUUAUUUGUUAACUCUAGGCAGAGUGAAUGUCCUUUAUGAUCUUGAAGUGGAACUUCGAUUGGGGCAAAUGUUAGUAAAAUGGCUUUGUAAACUGUAAAUCAAAGUACUUCUUUCUGCGAUGAUAUAUAUUUUUAUUGCCUUUCUGCAAAUUUAGAAACACGACAGAGCUUAAAUAAGCUUGAGGUUUUCAUUUUGUAUUUACCUUAGACAAUAAUGUAGUAGAAAAAGUUAUUUUGUUCUACUGUAAUUCUAAAGUGUUCAAAUUUUACAAUGAUUCAACGUGUUUUUCUUAUAUUUCUUUUAACAUUUCCCCAAAGAAUGACCCUGCCGAGUGUAAACCUUUGUCCUCUAUCGUCAUAUUACUGCUCUGCACAGUGUCCAGCCUAAGCGUUCUGCAGCUCAGUAUUUUUUGGAAAAUGUUCUGGGGAACUAUGUCAGAGGUAAAACUGUUUCCCAUAAAGUAGAGAUAAAGUGACUGGCCUGAUGGUAGCUCCUUACGGAGAGACUGACAGGUCUGGUUAGUCCUGCCGGGCACUGCGCAGGACUACGCUGCCGCAGGAGAGCUGGGGAAUCGUUCACCUUGUUGGCAGAGAUCUGAGUUAAAACUAAAACCACGGAUUAAUCUGGACACUACAAAGAUUUCGCGUUUCCUCCCUUAUGACAGUGUAAUAAUGACAGGCCACGGUUAACUAAUUACAUAAUAUAGACGUAGCAGCCCAGACCAAGGGAGGCUGCCUAGUACCCACUCUCAUGGGGGAAAGGCAACGGCUUUAUUUAUUCGUCCAGAUUCAGCCUUGAAGCAUUACCAGUACCGGGAAGGUAGCCGAUUUUAAGUAGCUUUGUGACCGUCCUUUCCAUCUCCUAUAUGACUUCUGUACUUUAUGCACUUUGAAAAUCUACUUGAAGCUGUCUACAGGACUGAGGGAAGCGAAAGCAAAUCCCAUGAAAGCCAGAAUGAGUGGGACUGGUUUUCGGAUAACCUGAGCCCUCCUCUCCUUGCCCCCGACUCGAGGUGGGACCCGCUCCGGCCGGUUUCCGACACGUUCCCGGGGCGCCUUCCACCCGAGCGGGUCUCGCUCGGCAAGUUAACCGGCACGUCCGCAGGUGGAGUUUGGCCUGUUGGAGAAGCAAAGCGACGGUCCUUCCAGGAACCCGGCCCCGGGGCGCACACCAGCCAGACGCGCCCUCGCGUCCUCCCCGGCCAGUCCGGAGGGCCGCGAGGGCAGGAAUCAAGUUUGACAGGCUAGUGGACGCCGCUUCCCGUUCGGGUGGAGCAGACAAAGGCAAACAGGGACGGCAGCGCCCCGGGCGAACACCCGUGCUGUUUCCAGCGGAGUCAAGCUGCAUGUCAGGAGGCUCUGUUUUCGGUGGUUUUUUUGAAACUCAUGGUAUGUGAUGCGCAGCUGUUAAUAAUAACAAAGGAAACUGUUUCUCCAAAUCCCUUUCUCCCCACUGGAAUAAGGACCUAAGUGACCAGAGUGAAACACUCGGUCUGGCAAAUUCCACGGUGAAGACAGGGCGGGUCCUCAGUGCCACUCUAGCGUCCCUCCUGCCGGCACGUCGUGUACCAUCAUCUCGCUGCUUUAGGUGCGACCAGCGCACACCCCACAAAGCCGUGUGCAGGCACCCCGCGUUUUACUGCACUUCUCAGAUGCUGCAGUUCCUACCAUGCGCGGGUAGGUUCAGAGGACAUUACCAGCUACCGUUAUUAGUAGGUGGACGUCUGAGCACUUGUCUUAACCAGGAAUAUGACUAGACGUUUAAUAAGCGUACUACUCAGAGUAAUUAUAGAUUUUCCUAAUGAUGAAAAAUAUGUGGAAUUUAAAAUUCUUUUUAAAGAAAGAAAACUGUCAAGAUCCCGAUUUCACCAUCUCAGAAUCAAAAGUGCCGGCUGCAGCACGACUCUCCUCCAAGCACCCUCCUGCCCACCCCCGCCGCGCGGUGAACUCACCAGGAACCUCUAGCUCGGCCCUCAGGAACUCCGCCCUGAAGCUGCUCAUCCAGGGCGAGCACUCCUUCAGGUUCCCUGGCGCCUUCGAGGCCCUGCUCAUCCUCCCAAGCAGCGAGCUGGUGAUGCUGCGGAAGUCCUGGAGCCUCAUGCCAGGGAGCUUAGAGCCUCCUCUGCCGAAGUGGUCAUCAAAUUCUUUCCCAAAAGCCUGAAAUUAAUGAUAAUUUACCUGAAAUAUUAAUGUUUAGCUGAACUUCUGAAGAAGUUCCAGGCUCACGAAUCUUCAUAAUAAACAGGUGCUCAAGUUGUAUUGGGUUUUUUCCUGCACUUUUAACUGACAGCUUCACUCUCCUUGAAUGUUUCAACACUCUUAAAGCACAGUAGGCUGCCUUUGUUUUUGUCUUUGUGCGCCUUUGAGAAGAUGGAAAGGAUGACAGUCAGCGGUGACUUCUGAGCAUAAAUUCUUAAUAAGGGCUUUAAACACAUGGGGAAAUCCUUUCACCUCUGUGUCCGUUGUACAGCUGCUGAUCUGCACCAUCAUGACAAUGGGAGUAAGUAGGAACAAAGUACAAAAUAAAGGACAUAAUUCAAUGGAAAUGAACAGCCCAGGGACUGCCCUGCUGGCGCGGUGGUUAAGAAUCCGCCUGCCGAUGCAGGGGACACGGGUUCGAGCCCUGGUCCGGGAAGAUCCCACAUGCCGCGGAGCAACUAAGCCCGUGCACCACCACUACUGAGCCUGCACUCUAGAGCCCGUGCUCCACAACAAGAGAAGCCACCGCAAUGAGAAGCCCGCGCACCGCAACAAAGAGCAGCGCCCGCUCACGACAACUCGAGAAAGCCCGCGCGCAACAACAAAGACCCAACGCAGCCAAAAACAAAUAAACAAAUUUUUAAAAAAUGAACAGCCCGAAGUUCUUCCUCACAGCAAAGAGAAAAACAUAAGAAAAAAACACUUUCCCUUAGUGAGGGUCUUUCAAGCCAUUAUUUUGGAUCAAGAACCAGUAUAAAUAGCAUUUGGGACCUACUGAAAACCCUCACCUGUCCAAGCACACAGAGAACUGACUGCGGGCUCGGCGACCAGCACCGUCUACAGACCUGCUGUGCACCCCUUCUGAGCUAUUACGUCAUCAACUCAAAGCCUGGCCCUGUCUUCCAGUUAAACAUCCACGAAGUCGCUAAGGAGCCUUUCUGAUAACCCUCCCCUUUUUCCCCAAUGCAGCCCCAGUGGAGAGGCCGGGAUGGGGUGAGAGCGGGCAAGCGGGACGUGGGGCAGGAGCCCUGGGGGUUCCCGAGAUGUGGAGCGUCGGGGGAUGGCACCUGAAACGUCCCCCUUUUCUUGCUGCUGAACAGUGACCUGAGCAUAAGGCCCCUGGACGUACAGACGCAGCUCAGCCCUGAGGGGCAGCCAGCUCCGGGUGGAGGGCUCACCUCCUCCCGUCUCGGUCCUCGUUCAGACGCGGCCUUCGCGUCAACACCCACAGAGCAAAGUGGGUGCAUGGGAACACUCCUUUACACAGUUUUCAAUGACACAUGUUGUUGGGAUGGAGCAAAACUCAGUGGUUAUGAAAAGCCAUUAACACACGCACCCCACACAACACAUCUGUUAGUUCGGUCAAGUCCCCUCCGCCAGAAGGAAGACACCGACCUCUCUGGUCAUGAGGCUCAGGGUCUCCUCUGGAUACAGCUCAACGAUCUGGAGGAGUCUGGGGAACUUCAGCCUGGCCUCGCUGGAGUGUAACUUCAGAGCUUUCAGCAUCUUGUCCACCACGACGGCCGGAUACGUGCGCAGUUCUGCAGCGUCCAGGACUACCGGGGACAGGAGAGGAGAGACGUGGUCACUACCCACACACAGACACGAGUGGCAUGCUCAGCGCUGGCUGCUCUCCCCCGGGCUUCCUUUCUAACAACUACUGCAGCUCAGCAGACGGUCUCGGACUGCAUGUAAGAGCUCCUCUCUGGGGCUUCCCUGGUGGCGCAGUGGUUGAGAGCCUGCCUGCCGAUGCAGGAGACACAGGUUCGUGCGGUCCAGGAAGAUCCCACAUGCCGCGGAGCGGCUGGGCCCGUGAGCCUGCGCUCCGCAACGGAAGAGGCCGCAACAGUGAGAGGCCCGUGUACCGCAAAAAAAAAAAAAAAAAGAGCUCCUCUCUGACGCUGACCUCUGCUACCGGGUGAAGUAGUUUGCUUCCUGGGCUGGAACACGAGGGGUGGCCACAGGAGCUGGUCAGACACGCACCAGGGAAGCAGAGGGAGGGAGGGACGGAGACGCCCAACUCCGGUCCCACACCGGCCGUGGGGCAUGGCCAUGUCACAGCCUCUUAAACAGACAAGCCGUCUCUUAGAACACAUGCCAUUGAAAAACACACAGGAGAGCACAGGACCCGCAAGACCCUACAUCUCCGGCGGGCAUGCGCGGGGCUCACCGGGGGGGCCCUCCUCCUGCUUGCGGAGCCGCUGGUCACAGAACUCCACCAGCGCCAGGUAAGCCGCCACCAGCCCGCAUGCAGGCUCCUGGCCCCGCGCCGAGCACCCGGCCUCCUCCUGUGCUGCCGUCCGCACGGCCUCAGAAAGGUGGUGGAACGCUCUCUGGUACAGGCCUGCCGCAACCUGGAACGCAGAGACCCCGGCAGGCUGUGAGCGAGACCAAGCUUCCUGAAGACCCUGCCCCCCUGGGACCCGUCAGCCACCGGUAAACAGAAAGCCGCUCGAGGGCAGAGCCAGGUCUGCCUGGACUGGGAAAGAGACGCCGGCCCUACGCCAUCUCGGCGCCUGAACACCAACACGCAGGGCGUGGCUCAGGAAGGGCUGGAGGCUGGGGACACAAGUGGCGCGGGGAGCACGUGGGAACUCACAAACACACAGAACCACCUGAGCAGUGCCAACAAAGCAGGUGCUACACAAAAAAGCAGAAAAGCUGAUUCUGCCCAUAAGCUGGCGGGGUGUCUGAAUGGCGGCCGGUGGUGAGAUUCCACUAACAAGAUUCACGGGAGAACCGUCCACAUCAAGCCAACACAGACUUCUCACUAUUAACACUAAAAGAAGGGUGUCGUUCAAAUCAACAGGAAACACGGGGAGUAGGUCAUUUUUCCAAUAAGAAACCUGACUGCGUGUAACUGUCAAAUGUGUCUUGAAAACACAAAGCGAGACUUGUCAUUUCUUUCAUGUAGCGGAGCCUGCGCGGUCGAGACAAACACACGACACGAAGCGCUCAGGCUCCCAGCGUCACUACCUUCUCUGCAUCCUCUGAACUGGAUCCCGAGAGCUCCACGACGCUCCUGGCCUUGCUCUCCUCGAUCCCAGCGAGGCAGGUGGGCUCACUACUAAGAGCGUCGGCCAUGAUCUUGUACGCUGUGCCCACGAGAAUGUUAUGGUCACGGGACGCCACAACGUUUCUGCUCAAGUAGCUUGAUGUGUUCUCACCUGCUGGAUUACACACACGCACACAGGAUUUUUUGAGAACUGAGUGAGUGACGUAAGUUACAAAGAAGAUAGUCAUAGUGUUCAAAGGUUGUUUUCUAUUAAGAAACUAAAAGAAAUCUUAAAGGUAUAAGAAACUGACUUCAAACGUUGACUCGAGAAUCUCUUGAACUCACAUUAACGAACAAUGUUCUUUGUCACCAGCGACCACGGCCCACCGAGGCUCAACAAUUAAAACACCAAAUAAACUUUCAUUCAAGCAUCACCCUUCUGCAUUUUGUCCAAGCACUUCUUUGUGUUAACAGAGAACAGAAAGUGUGCUUUCUAAUGCAUUCGUGCAUGUACAUCAAUAACGCUGAUUUUUAAACUGAUGCUGUGACCUACAGCUGACAAAGCAACAGAGACCACCGCAGUCCAAGGUCUAGUACUAUGUCCGGCCGUGUGGCUCUGGGCAAGCCUACAGCGUGCAGAGGUCGAGAAGAGAAAGGGCCGUCACCCGGCAAGUCCUGCACGCACACCACCUGCUCCUCCAGGAGACGCUUACUUCACAGGGCCGUGACCGACGGCAGCCAGUCAUUAUCACGAGAACCGAGUGCCGUCUUCACGGCAUCAAACUCCUCCUGCCCCCCCAGAAAAGCCUAUAAAAAGAGCUGAGCAGUCACGGCGUCAUUUUCCGAUCCUGGGAUCAACGUGGAAAGUGCUUCCCCAUCCUGCCCACGAGUCGGGCUCGGGACCAGCGGGAGGCCGCAGGAAAGCCCUGCCGUGCACCUGGGACGUGCACACGAGAGCCGGGACCCACACACGGGGUUCCCGCUCAGCCUCACAGGCCACGUCAUCACAGACAGAAGAACUGAGGAGGAAAAAGGCUCUCAUGGCUAAUUGUUUUAGGCAGUUCUUGUAUGCAAACAUAAAGUUUUCAAAAUAAUUAAACUGUUACACCCAAAAUUUGGCUAAGUCUUAAAGAGAACAUUUUAGAACUUCAACUUUAGUUUACAGAUGAAGAAACAAAAGCUCCAGGAGUCCCAUGCGGUAGCAUUACUGGACACACGGCACCUUGGCGCCGCAUGUUCAAUAAAUACUUAAUAAAAGUUUUACAAAUUUAAUUCCCAACUGUCAGAUAAAGCAGCACAAAGGAUACUGCGAGAAGACACACAGCCACAACACAAACUGUGGGAGGAGAAGAGCCUCGUACCCAGCAGGGGCACCGUCUUCAGCGCCGCGCAGAGCUGCUCGGGCGGGCGCUGGGCCCGGGCCCGGCCGUGGCUGAGCCGGCAGUAGCUCUGCACCCACUUCACGAGCCAGUCCUCCCGUGUUUUUGACUCUCUGUGCAGCUCCUUCAGCAGUUUCAAGGCAAGCGAGAAAUUAUUCUACACGGCGGAAGAGAGAAAGCAGAAAGAUGACACAGGAGGAUGAUGAGAAGUCAGGUCGCUCUACGAGAGGAGCUUCUCGCUGGCCCGCAGUGACCCAUCACCUUAGCUUUAUCGUGGGGACAGAUACACAGUCCAGAGUCUCCGGGACACUCACGCAGCGGGGCACCCCACGGCUGCCGUCUGAUUCCGGGACUCUGUCGUCCGCCAAGAAACCCUCCAUCCACAGGCAUCUGCUCCCCUCCCCCAGCCCCCAGAGACUACAGCCUUCUGCCCCGGGUCUGCCCAUUCUGGACACUUCCUACCCAGGGAGUCAGCUGUGCUCUGACUUUGUGCCUGGUGGUGUGUAUCAGAACUUCACCCCUUGCUGUGGCUGCGUAACAUGCUACUGCGUGCAUAAACCACAGUUUAUUUAUCUGUUUAUCUACUGAUAAACCUUCGCAUUGUUGCCACCUUCUGGCUAUUCUGAAUAAUGCUCUUUUUUCUAAUUUCAAUGAACAUAAAGGAU